This is a long non-coding RNA of Ictalurus punctatus (channel catfish), 4196 nucleotides long. The record is from Ensembl. NCBI's taxonomy places the organism in Eukaryota, Metazoa, Chordata, Actinopteri, Siluriformes, Ictaluridae.
CGUUACUAUAGUUUUACUUCAUUACUUUAUAUUAAACCCGGUUAUGUAAGCUAUUCUAGUAUAUAAUAUUCGAGUCCCAUGUCCAGUAUCAGGCUUUAGGCUACUAAUACAUGAAUUAGUCAACAAAUUGUUUUAUUUGUCUGAUUCAGCUCUAUUUAUAUAUUAUAUAGUCUACAUAGGCCAUUGUGUCUGCUGUAAAUUCAGUAUAAGAAUCUAUACACCGUGUCGGUUGUGUUUAGGAGCAUUAGUUAGCAUUUGUUAGCAUUAGUAGUCCUUGACGCUGAUUACGGGAACUCGCCGUUCUUUGCGCGCGCUUAUAAACCCCGCACGAGCCGAGCAGUAUCAUUGGCUGAGUGUGAGCUCGAGGAGUCGCAUCUCCAGCCGCUUUCCGCCGCUCACGGUUUUCCUCUCUACUACUUUGACCGAGACGCGACACACGGGCAUGCUGGGCACCGGCGAUUUUCGGGACGCUUCCCGCGGUGAAGGCGCGAGACUACGCGGCGAGACCGAGAGGAAGCGCUUAUCUCUGCGAAUCACACAGGUAAAGUCGAACACACUUACUCCCGUGACUCGGAAUUGCUUCCUUUCCUAAGCAAUCCCCAGAGCGUUUACGGUGUUAAGAUUCAGGACGUGCAUGUCCAAGGUGCCUUUGGACUGGAAUUACAUCACUGUCGCCAGUUGUGUGUUGAGAUAACUAAUGGGAAUGGUGCAGCUGCGUCAUCGGCGUCCUAAGCCUGCCGUCGUGUGCGUUUGUGUACCUAUGUGCAUUCAUACAUAACGGUCAGUCUGCGUUAAAUCUUGACACCUCAUAGAGGGUCAUCAUGUGGCUCAUUUUGCAUUAUCACGUCUUGUGAAAAGCAGAAGGGGAGGCAAAUGAAACGAUGAAUGUUGACAGCUGAUUACUGUCUCAAACGAUUACCUUUCAGCACCCUGGACAGAGACGAUGCGCGCUCCCGCGAUCCAUGAGCGCGCAAACUUGACAUCUGCUAUGGUUGCAGGAUUGGAUGGAUUGUAGUCUGACCAUUGAAACCAUGCCAUCAUGUAAAGUUUGUGGAGCCAAGAAAGAUUAAGAAACGACUUCAUGCAGGACAGCAUUUCAGAUUAUAUCUAGUAGCGUGUGUAGCCACUUAUUAAAUAUGAAAACUUUUUAGUCUGGGGUUUAAUGUCACCGUGCAGAGCAUGUUUAUUAGACCUGUAAAUUCAUACAAUGUGUGUUAGCCUAACAGUUCAGUUCUUCUGCAUUGGCAAGCUUAGAUUUAAUGAACAGCUACCUUUAGAAGUACUGAGUGAAUGAAUGUAGUGUGUGUGUGUGUGUGUGUGUGUGUGUGUGUGUGUGUGUGAGAGAGAGAGAGAAAGAGAGUGCAGUUUGUAUGCAUUUGAAUGGAUCUCCCAGCACAUCUCCUUAAUAAUUCAUAGCAGUGUGCUGUAUUCAGUGCUUUAAAAAUUGAGGUAUUGAGCUCAGCCUCAUGGCACAGAUCGAUCACUGUGAUUGGCUAUAAUAAUGUUGCUAUCAUUGGGAUAUUUCCUGGUGCAAAGCUCUUGCUGGUUUAGUAUUCUUUUGGGAUUAGUUUUUCUGAACAUCAGACCACAGUUGAGAGACCACUGAAGCUGAAUGUAUACACCUGAUUAAACAAGAAUGCACAAUGGAAUAUUUCCUAACACUAUAUAACAACAGAUUUGUAUAAUUAAAGGGAGGAUAUUGUUAAAAUUGGCUUUUUUAAAUUUUUUAUUCAACACCCCUGUUUUGGUGACAUUCAAGCAGUAUAGAGCUGCCCAAGCACUAAGAAAAUUGAAAUCUGUGCCUUGUACUUUUUAUCGUUAAUUUUUGUGCGAAAAAAUAUUUAAUGUUGAAAAAUACAGACUGUAUCUGCUACACGUGAGGAAUACAUUUGCACAUAUUCACAAAGUUUUCUGUGUUUGUGCCAUCUUUGCAGUCAUACUACAGUGCAAGCGAACUCAAAUUGAGUGAAGGUAGAUGGAUUUGUAAGCUUACAUUGGCUAAUGAAAUCAACACUAACUCAAAAAGAUGAGUGAAGAAAGCCUCUAGUAAUGUGGCAUUCCUGCAAAGUGAAAACCUUGGCAAUGAGGAGGUUAUUUCACUUCACUGGAGAUAAAAAAAUCAAGAGAAGAGGAGCUGCAUGUGUGACUUGACCGUAUGCAGCCACAGAUAAUGUCAAAUGUAACAUUGUAAAGCCGUGAAUGUCCCCAAAAUAACCAGUUUACUUUUCUUUCUUGCGGCCCAACUUGCAACCUAAUUGGUUGGGACAGAACUUGACGAUACUCGGUGUGUUUCAGGAAAGUAUAUGUUUCUUUAUUUUUUUUAAUUUGAAAUGUCAUGAACCAGUUAAAAAAACACUUGCAGCAGUCUUGUAGCCACUUCCCAUAGAAUCACAUGUACAGUGUGUGCUAGUGGUUCUGCAGGCACUUGAAAAUCUUUCUACUCAGGACUGGAACAGCAACACAUUACCCAAACAGUGAUUUAAUUAAGAUGUCUGCCUGUAUUGAUGUGCAAACUGCUUUAUUCCUUGGUGCGCCUGCUUCCAGCUCGCUAAUUUACUGGAGUAAACAAAGAUUACAUCAUACACCUAAGUGUUGUUCAAUUCUAGCAUAAACUCACUGCUAUUUUUGGCAUCCUAACAGUUAAAGAUUUAGCUCUUUUUCGUCCUCAUAUCCUGUUUCAGACAUUACUCAUGCAAGUAUGAACGGUUAUCUACAUUAAUAUUAUAAAUGAACGUUAAGGACUACUGAGUUGGAGAGGAUGAGACAGGCACUCUAUAACACCUUAAUAAAUAUAUCUUUCAAAGAUGGGGGAAAAAAACCCCAGAAAGUACUUUUACAUUUUAUGGAACAUUUGCUUUGUCUGAAUGACUAGUUGUGUAUUCAGUCUUACGUUUAAAUGCCAAAGUCAUGUUAUGGGCUAAACUGUGUUUUUGAAGCAUGAAAGUGUUUAUCAAAAUGCAAGUGCAAGCACAUUACCUUGUAAAAUUUCAGUUAAUAGCCUCUGAAAUGCAUUAUAAAGGAAAGAGCAAUGGUGUAGUGGUGUGGAAAAGCCCAAAACCUCAUUUGUGAGGUAGACAGGGAGACAAGUAGAUGGGCAACUAUAGAAAGAGGAAGAGAGAGAGACAGAUAUUAGAUGUCAGGAAUAUGUUCUGCUUCCCCAGUUGCUUCCCCAGGGGAAGCAUAUGAGUGUGUAGAGUGCAGCCGAGCCCUAUGCUGAAACAACUGACUGUGUCUUAAUAAGCCAGCAGUGUAACGAGAUCAGAUCCAUUGCACUUGCCUGCUACUGUACUCUGACAGCAAAAUAGUUUAUUCUGUAGGGCAUGGCAGCCUUCUUUGCUUUUGUUUCCCACUCAUACAUUUGAUGCAAAUCAAUCUCUUAAAUACCCAGUUGUCUACAUCUCCUGCAGUGAUAAUUAUUUUAAAGGCAGCUGGUGAAUGGCAGGCAGUUCACUGCGUAUCAGUGUGUAACAAUGUUUUUUUUUGUUUUAUCUGCUUAUAUUGUGUAUUGUGAAGUACGUCAAAAUAUUGUAUAUGGUGCAUAGCUAUAUUAUCUACAGUAUGUAUCUAUAUAAUGAAUCCUAUAAUUUGGAUUAAUUCUGUGGUUAGCAUAUGUGGCGUUCUGUGAAAAGUUAGAAUGAUUGAUUUUGAGCUACCUACAGUAUGAUGACAUCGCUAACAUAUGACCAGACGUUAAAAAGUAUCGUGGAAUUUCACAACUCAAAUUCCAUGGUUAUUCAUUCAACAUAUAAAUAUCAGCAUUUGGAUGGUUAUUGCAUUGUAAUGAAUGUUAAUUAUCCUGCUGCAUGACAGUCAAGUAAACAUUUGGUUGUGGUUUAUACUUUGUUCAGCAGCGCUGUUGAGCGCCAUUGACCUUACAUGACCCCAAACCAAGAAUUUGCUUUGUAUUCGCCAGAUAUGUUCUUUCAGUAAAACGAAAGAAACAAAUCAAACUAUUAAUAUCUUUCAAUGUAUGUAUGUCUGUUAAGCUAGUUUAUUUAACUUUUUCAAAUUGUUGUUAGUUAUUAUUUUUGUUGCUAAAAUGGUUGGUCAAAUUAAAACAAACUAUGUUUUACUGUUUAUAAACCUUAUUGCUAUACCCGUCAACUGCCAUUAUUCACAUGACGAGAUACUGAGCGUUACAGCCUAUGUCCUUUUAUGAUUAUGAGCAAAACCCUGAAUUUGUUUGUAUUCACCAG